GAUGAACGCUGGCGGCGUGCUUAACACAUGCAAGUCGAACGGUGAAGCCAAGCUUGCUUGGUGGAUCAGUGGCGAACGGGUGAGUAACACGUGAGCAACCUGCCCUGGACUCUGGGAUAAGCGCUGGAAACGGCGUCUAAUACUGGAUAUGAGCUUCUACCGCAUGGUGGGGGUUGGAAAGAUUUUUUGGUCUGGGAUGGGCUCGCGGCCUAUCAGCUUGUUGGUGGGGUAAUGGCUCACCAAGGCGUCGACGGGUAGCCGGCCUGAGAGGGUGACCGGCCACACUGGGACUGAGACACGGCCCAGACUCCUACGGGAGGCAGCAGUGGGGAAUAUUGCACAAUGGGCGAAAGCCUGAUGCAGCAACGCCGCGUGAGGGAUGUCGGCCUUCGGGUUGUAAACCUCUUUUAGCAGGGAAGAAGCGUAAGUGACGGUACCUGCAGAAAAAGCGCCGGCUAACUACGUGCCAGCAGCCGCCGUAA
This 482-nucleotide ribosomal RNA is filed under the name uncultured bacterium. RNAcentral's name for it is "partial 16S ribosomal RNA". It matches the Rfam family "Bacterial small subunit ribosomal RNA", at positions 28 to 523 of the family's 1533-position model. The record is from RNAcentral.